ACGAAGGGGGCUAGCGUUGCUCGGAAUUACUGGGCGUAAAGGGCGCGUAGGCGGCACUGUUAGUCAGGCGUGAAAUUCCUGGGCUCAACCUGGGGACUGCGCUUGAUACGGCAGAGCUAGAGGGUGGAAGAGGCUCGCGGAAUUCCCAGUGUAGAGGUGAAAUACGUAGAUAUUGGGAAGAACACCGGUGGCGAAGGCGGCGAGCUGGUCCAUUACUGACGCUGAGGCGCGACAGCGUGGGGAGCAAACAGGA
This 253-nucleotide ribosomal RNA is filed under the name uncultured prokaryote. Its description in RNAcentral is "partial 16S ribosomal RNA". It matches the Rfam family "Bacterial small subunit ribosomal RNA", at positions 525 to 777 of the family's 1533-position model. The record is from RNAcentral.